ACCCCUGUGAGGAUGCCCUACAGUUCUCCCGCGAGAACAAGGAGCUGGUAUCAGGCACACCCAUUCAGCCUACGACACCUUGCUUAGCCACACCCCCAAGGGAACUCAGCAGUGAUAGACAUUAAGCUAUAAGUGAAAACUCGACUUAGUUAAAGCUAAGAGGGCCGGUAAAACUCGUGCCAGCCACCGCGGUUAUACGAGAGGCCCAAGUUGACAGAUGCCGGCGUAAAGAGUGGUUAAGAUUCCUUAUUCAACUAAAGCCGAACGCCUCCAGAACUGUUAUACGCCCCCGGAGGUAAGAAGUUCCACCACGAAAGUGGCUUUAUUUAACCUGAACCCACGAAAGCUAUGUCACAAACUGGGAUUAGAUACCCCACUAUGCUUAGCCGUAAACAUUGAUACAACCCUACCCCACCAUCCGCCCGGGAACUACGAGCAUCAGCUUGAAACCCAAAGGACUUGGCGGUGCUUUAGACCCACCUAGAGGAGCCUGUUCUAGAACCGAUAACCCCCGUUCAACCUCACCCUCCCUUGUUUCUCCC
Molecule: ribosomal RNA, 542 nt
Filed under: Macroramphosus sagifue
Lineage: Eukaryota; Metazoa; Chordata; Actinopteri; Syngnathiformes; Centriscidae
Description: partial 12S ribosomal RNA
Rfam family: Bacterial small subunit ribosomal RNA
Source: RNAcentral